CCCGACCCCGACGGGAACAUCUCCGCCGCGACUCCCGGCCGUUCUCGACGAGCCGCAGCUGGUGCACCCACCAGCCGGUCCACCGUUUUUUGGAGUCUUUCCAUUCGCUCUUCCUGGCGCACAGCAGCCUCCUGCUGCCUCUGCACCACAUCAGCUUGUUGCCUCAUCACUCCAAUGAGUGUGGCCAACUGAUCACGAAGCUCUGCGCCUUCGCUCGCGUCGACUUGCUCGGGAACACCACUUGUCCCCUCCCGCGCCGAUCUGGACGAAGAUCGCCUACGCGGUGCCAUCGUUUCCUGAAACACGACAACUCGAUUAGUUCUCGACCAACUUGGGUCGAACACGAGACCACUAACACCGGCUCAAAAGCCAAUCAGGCGAAAGUCACGCAAGGGUGUUUAUUCACAUCACUCGGUUUCAUGUUGUCGUACGCCCAACAUGAACAUCCUUGGCUGAGAAUAAACAACACCUCGAGUCUACCUCUAAU
Molecule: long non-coding RNA, 487 nt
Filed under: Ananas comosus (pineapple)
Lineage: Eukaryota; Viridiplantae; Streptophyta; Magnoliopsida; Poales; Bromeliaceae
Description: long non-coding RNA (ACOM_LNC040462)
Source: RNAcentral